ACGGAGGAUCCGAGCGUUAUCCGGAUUUAUUGGGUUUAAAGGGUGCGUAGGCGGGUUUUUAAGUCCGUGGUGAAAGCUUGCAGCUCAACUGUAAAAUUGCCAUUGAAACUGAAGACCUUGAGUGUGAAUGAGGUAGGCGGAAUGUGUUGUGUAGCGGUGAAAUGCUUAGAUAUGACUCAGUACACCGAUUUCUGAGGCAGCUUACUAAGAUACAACUGACGCUGAGGCACGAAAGCGUGGGGAUCGAACAG
RNAcentral lists this ribosomal RNA (251 nucleotides) under uncultured prokaryote. RNAcentral's name for it is "partial 16S rRNA". It matches the Rfam family "Bacterial small subunit ribosomal RNA", at positions 525 to 775 of the family's 1533-position model. The record is from RNAcentral.